UACGGGGGGGGGCAAGCGUUGUUCUGAAUUACUGGGCGUAAAGGGCUCGUAGGCGGCCAACUAAGUCAGACGUGAAAUCCCUCGGCUUAACCGGGGAACUGCGUCUGAUACUGGAUGGCUUGAGUUUGGGAGAGGGAUGCGGAAUUCCAGGUGUAGCGGUGAAAUGCGUAGAUAUCUGGAGGAACACCGGUGGCGAAGGCGGCAUCCUGGACCAACACUGACGCUGAGGAGCGAAAGCCAGGGGAGCAAACGGG
RNAcentral lists this ribosomal RNA (254 nucleotides) under uncultured bacterium. Its description in RNAcentral is "partial 16S ribosomal RNA". It matches the Rfam family "Bacterial small subunit ribosomal RNA", at positions 524 to 776 of the family's 1533-position model. The record is from RNAcentral.